CCCGGGGCAGCGCGGACGGAGGGAGUGAGAAGUGCCGGAGCGGUGCGCGGGUCCGGGCGCGGGGCGCGGGAGCCGGAGCCGGAGCCGCGCCAGCCGGGGCCGCCGGCGCGAUGCCGCUCGCCCAGCUGGGGAGCCCUGGCCGCUCGCUGAGCUGCUUCCCUGGAUGCCGAGGCCUCCACAGAUGUCUCCUGGACGGAGAGAGACUCGGCCUCCUGUACCCAGAAGG
This 226-nucleotide long non-coding RNA is filed under the name Sarcophilus harrisii (Tasmanian devil). RNAcentral describes it as "lncRNA (ENSSHAG00000029365.1)". The record is from RNAcentral. Lineage: Eukaryota; Metazoa; Chordata; Mammalia; Dasyuromorphia; Dasyuridae.